RNAcentral lists this ribosomal RNA (300 nucleotides) under uncultured Caldivirga sp. RNAcentral describes it as "bacterial SSU rRNA". It matches the Rfam family "Bacterial small subunit ribosomal RNA", at positions 496 to 795 of the family's 1533-position model. The record is from RNAcentral. Lineage: Archaea; Thermoproteati; Thermoproteota; Thermoprotei; Thermoproteales; Thermoproteaceae.
UGUAACUCGGUGGAAGAGGCGGCGGUAGUGACGAGGGGGCAAACGUUGAACGGAGUUGAAGGGCGUAAAGGGUGAGUAGGUGGCGCGGAAAGUCGAGUGUGAAAGCCCUGGGGUCAACCUGGGAAUUGCAGUCGAUACUGGUGAGCUAGAGUUCGGUAGAGGGUGACGGAAUUCCCGGUGUAGCGGUGAAAUGCGUAGAUAUCGGGAGGAACAUCGAUGGCGAAGGCAAUCACCUGGGCCUGAACUGACACUGAGACACGAAAGCGUGGGUAGCAAACAGGAUUAGAUACCCGAGUAGUC